GACGAACGCUGGCGGCGUGCUUAACACAUGCAAGUCGAACGGCAACGCACCAGCUUGCUGGUGUGGAUGAGUGGCGAACGGGUGAGUAACACGUGAGCAACCUGCCCCUGACUCUGGAAUAAGCUCUGGAAACGGCGUCUAAUACAGGAUACGAGAAGGGUCCGCAUGGGCACUUUCUGAAAAGUUUUUCGGUUGGGGAUGGGCUCGCGGCCUAUCAGCUUGUUGGUGAGGUAAUGGCUGACCAAGGCGACGACGGGUAGCCGGCCUGAGAGGGCGACCGGCCACACUGGGACUGAGACACGGCCCAGACUCCUACGGGAGGCAGCAGUGGGGAAUAUUGCACAAUGGGCGAAAGCCUGAUGCAGCGACGCCGCGUGUGGGAUGACGGCCUUCGGGUUGUAAACCUCUUUCAGCAGGGAAGAAGCGAAAGUGACGGUACCUGCAGAAGAAGCACCGGCUAACUACGUG
RNAcentral lists this ribosomal RNA (468 nucleotides) under uncultured bacterium. RNAcentral's name for it is "partial 16S ribosomal RNA". It matches the Rfam family "Bacterial small subunit ribosomal RNA", at positions 28 to 507 of the family's 1533-position model. The record is from RNAcentral.